RNAcentral lists this ribosomal RNA (459 nucleotides) under uncultured bacterium. RNAcentral's name for it is "partial 16S ribosomal RNA". It matches the Rfam family "Bacterial small subunit ribosomal RNA", at positions 338 to 795 of the family's 1533-position model. The record is from RNAcentral.
CCUACGGGAGGCAGCAGUGAGGAAUAUUGGUCAAUGGGCGGGAGCCUGAACCAGCCAAGCCGCGUGAGGGAAGAAGGUACAGCGUAUCGUAAACCUCUUUUGUCAGGGAACAAAGGCGGGGACUAGUCCCCGGGUGAGGGUACCUGAAGAAAAAGCAUCGGCUAACUCCGUGCCAGCAGCCGCGGUAAUACGGAGGAGGCGAGGGUUAUCCGGAUUUAUUGGGUUUAAAGGGUUCUCAGGCGGCCUGUUCAGUCAGCGGUAAAAGCCCGGGGCUCAACCCCGGCGAGCCGUUGAAACUGGCGGGCUGGAGUUGGAGAGAAGUACGCGGAAGGCGCGGUGUAGCGGGGAAAUGCUUAGAGAUCGCGCAGAACCCCGAUUGCGAAGGCAGCGUACCGGCUCCACACUGACGCUGAGGCACGAAAGCGUGGGUAUCGAACAGGAUUAGAUACCCUUGUAGUC